Populus euphratica (Euphrates poplar) is the source of this 523-nucleotide long non-coding RNA. RefSeq lists it as uncharacterized. The record is from RefSeq and is a predicted model, not a curated record. The transcript has 2 exons. NCBI's taxonomy places the organism in Eukaryota, Viridiplantae, Streptophyta, Magnoliopsida, Malpighiales, Salicaceae.
AGCCUCACAAACAAGCGCCCUCGGCGUCAGAGAAGACACGAAAGGUAAAAUUCACGCAGGUUAUCGCCUCUCAUUUCUCUAGAACCUCCGUAAUAAGCUUCUCAGCGCAGUUCAAUUAAGAUUACUAGCAAAGUGAAAUGGCUGGUGGUAGGCUUGCUCAUGCGACCUUGAAAGGACCUAGUGUUGUCAGGGAGAUUUGCAUUGGAUUUGCACUUGGCUUGGCUGCUGGUGGUCUUUUGAAAAUGCAUCACUGGAACGAGCAGAGGAAAGUGAGAUCGUUUUAUGACUUGCUGGAAAAGGGUGAGAUCAGUGUUGUUGUGGAAGAAUGAAUAUGUCCUAUUCCCCUGCCUCUGCCAUUGUGUUAUGGACAGCAUCAGAAGUAUUCUGUUUGUCACCCAUGUCUUAAUUUUAAGCUGUGGGUACUUAGCCUUCAGACUUUGAAUAAAUUUCUUGUUUGAGAUGUGCAGCACAAUUGUUUUACAUGAAUGUGUGAAGUUAAUGCCUUUCACUCUGUCAUGUGCCA